Pelobates cultripes (western spadefoot toad) is the source of this 205-nucleotide non-coding RNA. Lineage: Eukaryota; Metazoa; Chordata; Amphibia; Anura; Pelobatidae. The record is from the annotation of a GenBank genome assembly.
AGACUCGUUUGCAUGAUAUCAGGCAGAAAAGCAUUGCCAGUUUUGCUGAUAGUUGUUUCAGUGUAAGAUCUGAGUUUCGUGGCCACUGUUCCAGUAGGUUCAGGACUAAAUUUACAUCCCACGUGGAUGUAUAUCUAGGUUGUGGUGGCCUUGCAAAACGAACACCUCGUAGGAGUCUGCAUACCAUUGCAUGUCUCCCUAUUGG